RNAcentral lists this ribosomal RNA (421 nucleotides) under uncultured bacterium. Its description in RNAcentral is "bacterial SSU rRNA". It matches the Rfam family "Bacterial small subunit ribosomal RNA", at positions 354 to 777 of the family's 1533-position model. The record is from RNAcentral.
GUGGGGGAUAUUGCACAAUGGGGGAGACCCUGAUGCAGCGACGCCGCGUGGGUGAAGGAGCACUUCGGUGCGUAAAGCCCUGUCAGCAGGGAAGAGAGGGCCCUUGAGGCCUCAGACGGUACCUGAAGAAGAAGCCCCGGCUAACUACGUGCCAGCAGCCGCGGUAAUACGUAGGGGGCGAGCGUUAUCCGGAUUUACUGGGUGUAAAGGGAGCGCAGACGGCAGGGCAAGCCCGGAGUGAAAGCCCAAGGCCCAACCAUGGGACUGCUCUGGGAACUGUCAGGCUAGAGUGCAGGAGGGGUGAGCGGAAUUCCUGGUGUAGCGGUGAAAUGCGCAGAUAUCAGGAGGAACACCGGUGGCGAAGGCGGCUCACUGGACUGUGACUGACGUUGAGGCUCGAAAGCGUGGGGAGCAAACAGGA